Molecule: non-coding RNA, 697 nt
Organism: Arachis ipaensis
Lineage: Eukaryota; Viridiplantae; Streptophyta; Magnoliopsida; Fabales; Fabaceae
Source: RefSeq, a predicted model, not a curated record
AAUGUGAGAGGUAAAAACCACGAGUCGUCCAGACCAAUGAAAUAGCUCCACUAUAAUCAAAUGAGAUACAAGAGAGUCUCAAACAAAGCACAAAAAUGUGCAUAUAACCAGCCAAAACAUCAAAACACCAAAGCUCACAAAUUAGAAGCAAGAAGAUGAAAUAUACCCAAAAAAAACAGAGCUGCUAUCGAAGCCAAUUUCUCCCUCUGUAGACCUCCAAUUAAAAUCUUCACCAUCCAUAAUAAAGAACAAGAUGUGAAGAAUUUACAGUUCAAAUUUCACGUCGAUCCAACGGUGAAAGAAUGAGAAACUGCCAUUCCAAAAUUGCUGCUCUGUGUAAAAAUGGGAAACCUAAUUUCUCUCUUGCGAAGCCAAUUUCUCUCACUGCAAAUCUCCAAUCAACAUCUCCACCGACCAGAAUGAAGAACAAUAUGAUAGGAACAUGCAGUUUAAAUUUCAAGCCGAUCCAACGGUGAACAACUGAGCAACUGCCAUUUGAAAUUUACUGCUUUGGGCAAAACGGGAAUUCUAUUUUUCCCCUUCUCUCUCACUUGGUGACUACUCUCUCUCUCUCUCACUCAAUGACCCCCCAAAAUCUGAACUAGAGUUGUGGUACAAUGGGUGCAAGAGACACCCUCAAAAUGUUGGGCUUGGGCCUCACAAAGGAGAGAAAAACCCAACAAGAUCCAAAGUUCCA